This 67-nucleotide transfer RNA is filed under the name Iridona iridescens. RNAcentral describes it as "Moerella iridescens tRNA-Gln". Lineage: Eukaryota; Metazoa; Mollusca; Bivalvia; Cardiida; Tellinidae. The record is from RNAcentral.
UGUAAGGUGGUGUAAAGGCACAUAAAGUUUUGGACUUUGAAGUGAUAGUUUAAUCUGUUUCUUACAG